This 465-nucleotide ribosomal RNA is filed under the name Vreelandella stevensii. RNAcentral's name for it is "partial 16S ribosomal RNA". It matches the Rfam family "Bacterial small subunit ribosomal RNA", at positions 338 to 795 of the family's 1533-position model. The record is from RNAcentral. Lineage: Bacteria; Pseudomonadati; Pseudomonadota; Gammaproteobacteria; Oceanospirillales; Halomonadaceae.
CCUACGGGAGGCAGCAGUGGGGAAUAUUGGACAAUGGGGGGAACCCUGAUCCAGCCAUGCCGCGUGUGUGAAGAAGGCCCUCGGGUUGUAAAGCACUUUCAGCGGGGAAGAACGCCUGGUGGUUAAUACCCAUCAGGAAAGACAUCACUCACAGAAGAAGCACCGGCUAACUCCGUGCCAGCAGCCGCGGUAAUACGGAGGGUGCGAGCGUUAAUCGGAAUUACUGGGCGUAAAGCGCGCGUAGGUGGCUUGAUAAGCCGGUUGUGAAAGCCCCGGGCUCAACCUGGGAACGGCAUCCGGAACUGUCAAGCUAGAGUGCAGGAGAGGAAGGUAGAAUUCCCGGUGUAGCGGUGAAAUGCGUAGAGAUCGGGAGGAAUACCAGUGGCGAAGGCGGCCUUCUGGACUGACACUGACACUGAGGUGCGAAAGCGUGGGUAGCAAACAGGAUUAGAUACCCUGGUAGUC